Molecule: long non-coding RNA, 993 nt
Organism: Plectropomus leopardus (leopard coralgrouper)
Lineage: Eukaryota; Metazoa; Chordata; Actinopteri; Perciformes; Serranidae
Source: RefSeq, a predicted model, not a curated record
CUCUUGAACGCAUCGGAAACUGAAGGAUGGACGCGAGAGCAGCGAGAGCACAGUGCCACUGCUAUCAGAAAAUAGUAGACCGCUUACUAACGCCAUUCAGUGCUUUCAAACAUGCACUGCAUAGGUUGUCUCUUGAUGCCGGUCUACAGAUGUGUCCCUGGACGUGGAGCCAUUGCGCAGAGAGCGCGAGAGAAAACUGCAUCUUUGAACUGGAACCUUGAUGGCGAGUGAGAGGAAUCCGAAAAACCAUCGAUGAAGCAAACCAGUCGCAACUCUAAUGCCUACAUGAUGCUCACCUCAAGAUUCUUAGAGCCAAACAACAUCCGACGACUUCUGCACUCCUCUCCUUUCAUUAAAGCCGACCCGGAAGCUAACAGCGCCCUGGUUCCCUCAUCAAAAAGCCAAUGGGAUUUUCCACUGGAUUUUGGAUUGUUGCAGAAAAUGAGCUCUUUGGGUGGCUGUUGAAAGAGAAGCGCGAUCACACUCACCAAGCAACACGUCUCUCCUUACUGUUGUCCAACGAGUCCAAACAAUCCCCCAUGACAACAGUUAUCAGCAGCCAUCAGGCGCCACGUCAGUGAAGGUCCUGGUUGAAUGACCAGCCUGUGAGAUGGAUGGAUGAUGACUAUCAUUGGCACACCGUCACAAGUUCUGGGUCAAGAUCAUCGGGGAAGUUCUUCUGAUAAAGAUUUCCUCAUGUGAGAGGAUACCACACAUCUACACAACCAGGAAACCACGUUUUGCACAUGAAAAGGUGACAGAGAAGAGCUUGACGGAGAAGUCUGCAACAACUGCAUGAGUGUUCCUGUUGUCCCUGCCGUCCCUGUUGUCCCUGCUGUUUCGUUCCUGCUCUCCCUGCCAUAUUCCUGCCCUGUUCUUCACCCUAGUUCUUUUCAUCAACCUGGUUUGUUUCAGUCUAGUUUUGUUCAUGUUUUAUUUGUACUUUGUAUUUUUGUUCACCUGUUGGUUCUUUGUGGAUAAACUUCAGCAUUA